This 305-nucleotide long non-coding RNA is filed under the name Ananas comosus (pineapple). RNAcentral describes it as "long non-coding RNA (ACOM_LNC012070)". The record is from RNAcentral. Lineage: Eukaryota; Viridiplantae; Streptophyta; Magnoliopsida; Poales; Bromeliaceae.
CAGAUCUUCACUCUAGCACAUAUAACUAGAGUGAAAACAUAUUAAACUCGGUUAAUUCUGAUACAUACACUCAGAAAUUAGCCACUCUCUACUUUCGGGUAAUAUCAAAUCCGAUCUACCUCAAUACAUAUACUUGAGAUUUGGUCACAUCUCCACCUUAGAAUAUACAACCAAGGUGAACCCAACCGCCAUGUCAUUAAACUGAGCACCAAACUUAAACCGACCGCCAUGUCAUUAAACUGAGCAUCAAAACUUCAAUCGACCACCAAGUCGCUAAAUUGAGUAUCUAGUCUUGUAAAAUUUAU